CACUGUGUCCUUUCUGUGUAG
This 21-nucleotide microRNA is filed under the name Pongo pygmaeus (Bornean orangutan). RNAcentral's name for it is "ppy-miR-892a". Its record names the gene ppy-miR-892a. The record is from miRBase by way of RNAcentral. Lineage: Eukaryota; Metazoa; Chordata; Mammalia; Primates; Hominidae.